RNAcentral lists this small nucleolar RNA (128 nucleotides) under Mesocricetus auratus (golden hamster). RNAcentral's name for it is "Small nucleolar RNA SNORA61 (ENSMAUG00000007044.1)". Lineage: Eukaryota; Metazoa; Chordata; Mammalia; Rodentia; Cricetidae. The record is from RNAcentral.
UCCUUCUGGUCUUUUUCUCAUCAGAUCUCAACACUGGUCUUGGAGGUCAUGAAGAAGUAAAAUGACACCGAAUCUGGCCUCCCAACAAUCAAGUCUGGAAUAGAGCACAGGUCCACACUCAAACAAGU